This is a non-coding RNA of Molossus molossus (Pallas's mastiff bat), 1302 nucleotides long. The record is from the annotation of a RefSeq genome assembly. NCBI's taxonomy places the organism in Eukaryota, Metazoa, Chordata, Mammalia, Chiroptera, Molossidae.
AUGUGGUCCCGGUUCUAUCCCACAGUCUCCAGUCAGGGCCCCUCCGUCUUCCCCUUGAAGUUCUGCAAAACCACCAAAGGCGGCAACUCCGUGACGCUGGGCUGCCUGGUCAGCAACUACUUUCCAGAGCCCGUGACCGUGACUUGGGACGUGGGGUCUCUGAAAAGUAACAUCUCGACCUUCCCUGCCACCUUGCUCUCAACCUCCGGCCUCUAUACCACCACCAGCCAGGUGACCGUCUUCGGCGAGUGGGCGGAACAGAAGUUCACUUGCAAUGUGGAGCACGCCGGAUCCGCCCCCAUCAACAAGACGGUUUCAAUAUGCCCCAGCAACAUCACCCUGCCCACCGUGAGGCUCUUCCACUCCUCCUGUGACCCCAGUGGCAACACCGCUGCCAUCAUCCAGCUGCUGUGCCUCAUCAGCAACUUCACUCCAGGUGACAUUGAAGUCACCUGGCUGGUGGAGGGGCAGAAGACCGAGGGUAUGUCCUUGUACAAUGGCCCCCACAAGCAGGAGGGCAACCUGUCCUCCACCUUCAGCCAGCUCAAUGUCACCCAGGGCCAGUGGGUGUCCCAAAGGACCUACACCUGCCAGGUCAACUAUCAAGGCUGCACCCUUAGAGCCUACGCCCGCAACUGCCCAGAGUCGGAGCCCCGCGGGGUGAGCAUCUACGUGAUCCCACCCAGCCCCCUCGACCUGUACCUCUACAAGUCGCCCUACAUCACCUGCCUGGUGGUGGACCUGGCCAGCGUGGAAGGCAUAAACCUGACGUGGUCACAGAAGAGUGGGAACCGCAUGCUAAAGGCCACAAAUAACACCAGGCAUCACUUCAACAUGACUUACACCUUCAUAUCCACCCUGCCGGUGGACACCGACAACUGGACCCAGGGCGAGACCUACACGUGCAAACUGACCCACCCACACCUGCCCAGGAGCAUCGAGCGCAGCAUCGCCAAGGCCCCCGGCAAACGUGUCGCCCCCGAGGUCUACAUGUUGCUGCCGUCCGAGGAGGAACAGAAGAACAAGAGCACGGUCACCCUCGCCUGCCUGAUCCAGAACUUCUUCCCCGCGGACAUCUCGGUGCAGUGGCUGCAAGAUGAGAAACCGCUGCCGCUGGACCAGCACAGCACCACGUGGCCCAUCAGGGACGCGGGCCCCAGCCCUGCCUUCUUUGUCUUCAGCCGCCUGGAGGUCAACCGGACGCACUGGGAGAAAAAGAACACCUUCACCUGCCAAGUGAUCCACGAGGCACUACCGAACAAGAUCCUCCAGAAAUCAGUGUUCAAAGUCCCUGGUAAAUGA